Molecule: ribosomal RNA, 1761 nt
Filed under: Salmonella enterica
Lineage: Bacteria; Pseudomonadati; Pseudomonadota; Gammaproteobacteria; Enterobacterales; Enterobacteriaceae
Description: partial 23S ribosomal RNA
Rfam family: Bacterial large subunit ribosomal RNA
Source: RNAcentral
GUUAAGUGGGAAACGAUGUGGGAAGGCCCAGACAGCCAGGAUGUUGGCUUAGAAGCAGCCAUCAUUUAAAGAAAGCGUAAUAGCUCACUGGUCGAGUCGGCCUGCGCGGAAGAUGUAACGGGGCUAAACCAUGCACCGAAGCUGCGGCAGCGACACUGUGUGUUGUUGGGUAGGGGAGCGUUCUGUAAGCCUGUGAAGGUGGCCUGUGAGGGUUGCUGGAGGUAUCAGAAGUGCGAAUGCUGACAUAAGUAACGAUAAAGCGGGUGAAAAGCCCGCUCGCCGGAAGACCAAGGGUUCCUGUCCAACGUUAAUCGGGGCAGGGUGAGUCGACCCCUAAGGCGAGGCCGAAAGGCGUAGUCGAUGGGAAACGGGUUAAUAUUCCCGUACUUGGUGUUACUGCGAAGGGGGGACGGAGAAGGCUAUGUUGGCCGGGCGACGGUUGUCCCGGUUUAAGCGUGUAGGUGUGUGUUCCAGGUAAAUCCGGUUCACUUUAACACUGAGGCGUGACGACGAGGCACUACGGUGCUGAAGCAACAAAUGCCCUGCUUCCAGGAAAAGCCUCUAAGCAUCAGGUAACAUCAAAUCGUACCCCAAACCGACACAGGUGGUCAGGUAGAGAAUACCAAGGCGCUUGAGAGAACUCGGGUGAAGGAACUAGGCAAAAUGGUGCCGUAACUUCGGGAGAAGGCACGCUGACACGUAGGUGAAGUGAUUUACUCAUGGAGCUGAAGUCAGUCGAAGAUACCAGCUGGCUGCAACUGUUUAUUAAAAACACAGCACUGUGCAAACACGAAAGUGGACGUAUACGGUGUGACGCCUGCCCGGUGCCGGAAGGUUAAUUGAUGGGGUCAGCGCAAGCGAAGCUCCUGAUCGAAGCCCCGGUAAACGGCGGCCGUAACUAUAACGGUCCUAAGGUAGCGAAAUUCCUUGUCGGGUAAGUUCCGACCUGCACGAAUGGCGUAAUGAUGGCCAGGCUGUCUCCACCCGAGACUCAGUGAAAUUGAACUCGCUGUGAAGAUGCAGUGUACCCGCGGCAAGACGGAAAGACCCCGUGAACCUUUACUAUAGCUUGACACUGAACAUUGAGCCUUGAUGUGUAGGAUAGGUGGGAGGCUUUGAAGUGUGGACGCCAGUCUGCAUGGAGCCGACCUUGAAAUACCACCCUUUAAUGUUUGAUGUUCUAACGUGGACCCGUAAUCCGGGUUGCGGACAGUGUCUGGUGGGUAGUUUGACUGGGGCGGUCUCCUCCUAAAGAGUAACGGAGGAGCACGAAGGUUGGCUAAUCCUGGUCGGACAUCAGGAGGUUAGUGCAAUGGCAUAAGCCAGCUUGACUGCGAGCGUGACGGCGCGAGCAGGUGCGAAAGCAGGUCAUAGUGAUCCGGUGGUUCUGAAUGGAAGGGCCAUCGCUCAACGGAUAAAAGGUACUCCGGGGAUAACAGGCUGAUACCGCCCAAGAGUUCAUAUCGACGGCGGUGUUUGGCACCUCGAUGUCGGCUCAUCACAUCCUGGGGCUGAAGUAGGUCCCAAGGGUAUGGCUGUUCGCCAUUUAAAGUGGUACGCGAGCUGGGUUUAGAACGUCGUGAGACAGUUCGGUCCCUAUCUGCCGUGGGCGCUGGAGAACUGAGGGGGGCUGCUCCUAGUACGAGAGGACCGGAGUGGACGCAUCACUGGUGUUCGGGUUGUCAUGCCAAUGGCACUGCCCGGUAGCUAAAUGCGGAAGAGAUAAGUGCUGAAAGCAUCUAAGCACGAAACUUGCCCCGA